Molecule: ribosomal RNA, 429 nt
Filed under: Bacteroidota bacterium
Lineage: Bacteria; Pseudomonadati; Bacteroidota
Description: Bacteroidetes bacterium partial 16S ribosomal RNA
Rfam family: Bacterial small subunit ribosomal RNA
Source: RNAcentral
UAGGGAAUCUUCCGCAAUGGACGCAAGUCUGACGGAGCAACGCCGCGUGAGUGAAGAAGGAUUUCGGUUCGUAAAACUCUGUUGUUAGAGAAGAACAGCGCAUAGAGUAACUGUUAUGCGUGUGACGGUAUCUAACCAGAAAGCCACGGCUAACUACGUGCCAGCAGCCGCGGUAAUACGUAGGUGGCAAGCGUUGUCCGGAUUUAUUGGGCGUAAAGCGAGCGCAGGCGGUCAAUUAAGUCUGAUGUGAAAGCCCCCGACUCAACCGGGGAGAGUCAUUGGAAACUGGUUGACUUGAGUGCAGAAGAGGAGAGUGGAAUUCCAUGUGUAGCGGUGAAAUGCGUAGAUAUAUGGAGGAACACCAGUGGCGAAGGCGACUCUCUGGUCUGUAACUGACGCUGAGGCUCGAAAGCGUGGGUAGCAAACAGG